This 253-nucleotide ribosomal RNA is filed under the name uncultured bacterium. RNAcentral's name for it is "partial 16S ribosomal RNA". It matches the Rfam family "Bacterial small subunit ribosomal RNA", at positions 524 to 776 of the family's 1533-position model. The record is from RNAcentral.
UACGGAGGGUGCAAGCGUUAAUCGGACUUACUGGGCGUAAAGCGUACGUAGGUGGACAUAUAAGUCAGAUGUGAAAUCCCCAAGCUCAACUUGGGAACUGCAUCUGAUACUGUCUGUCUCGAGUACAGUAGAGGGAAGAGGAAUUUCUGGUGUAGCGGUGAAAUGCGUAGAUAUCAGAAAGAACAUCAGUGGCGAAGGCGUCUUCCUGGACUGAUACUGACACUGAGGUACGAAAGCGUGGGUAGCGAACAGG